Molecule: ribosomal RNA, 1350 nt
Filed under: uncultured bacterium
Lineage: Bacteria
Description: bacterial SSU rRNA
Rfam family: Bacterial small subunit ribosomal RNA
Source: RNAcentral
GACGAACGCUGGCGGCGUGCUUAACACAUGCAAGUCGAACGGAGUGCCUCGGAAAGAGAUUUCGGUCAAUGGAAGAGGUUACUUAGUGGCGGACGGGUGAGUAACGCGUGAGGAACCUGCCUUUCGGAGGGGGACAACAGUUGGAAACGACUGCUAAUACCGCAUAACAUAUGUUUGUCGCAUGGCAGAUAUAUCAAAGAUUUAUCGCUGAGAGAUGGCCUCGCGUCUGAUUAGCUGGUUGGUAGGGUAACGGCCUACCAAGGCGACGAUCAGUAGCCGGACUGAGAGGUUGGCCGGCCACAUUGGGACUGAGAUACGGCCCAGACUCCUACGGGAGGCAGCAGUGGGGAAUAUUGGGCAAUGGGCGCAAGCCUGACCCAGCAACGCCGCGUGAAGGAAGAAGGCUUUCGGGUUGUAAACUUCUUUUAAGAGGGAAGAGCAGAAGACGGUACCUCUUGAAUAAGCUCCGGCUAACUACGUGCCAGCAGCCGCGGUAAUACGUAGGGAGCGAGCGUUGUCCGGAUUUACUGGGGUAAAGGGCGUGCAGCCGGGAGUACAAGUCAGAUGUGAAAUCCCGCGGCUCAACCGCGGAACUGCAUUUGAAACUGUAUUUCUUGAGUACUGGAGAGGCAGACGGAAUUCCUAGUGUAGCGGUGAAAUGCGUAGAUAUUAGGAGGAACACCAGUGGCGAAGGCGGUCUGCUGGACAGCAACUGACGGUGAGGCGCGAAAGCGUGGGGAGCAAACAGGAUUAGAUACCCUGGUAGUCCACGCUGUAAACGAUGGAUACUAGGUGUGCGGGGACUGACCCCCUGCGUGCCGCAGUUAACACAAUAAGUAUCCCACCUGGGGAGUACGAUCGCAAGGUUGAAACUCAAAGGAAUUGACGGGGGCCCGCACAAGCGGUGGAUUAUGUGGUUUAAUUCGAUGCAACGCGAAGAACCUUACCAGGGCUUGACAUCCUGCUAACGAGGUAGAGAUACGUCAGGUGCCCUUCGGGGAAAGCAGAGACAGGUGGUGCAUGGUUGUCGUCAGCUCGUGUCGUGAGAUGUUGGGUUAAGUCCCGCAACGAGCGCAACCCUUAUUGUUAGUUGCUACGCAAGAGCACUCUAGCGAGACUGCCGUUGACAAAACGGAGGAAGGUGGGGACGACGUCAAAUCAUCAUGCCCCUUAUGUCCUGGGCUACACACGUAAUACAAUGGCGGUCAACAGAGGGAUGCAAAACCGUGAGGUGGAGCGAACCCCUAAAAGCCGUCCCAGUUCAGAUCGCAGUCUGCAACCCGACUGCGUGAAGUCGGAAUCGCUAGUAAUCGCGGAUCAGCAUGCCGCGGUGAAUACGUUCCCGGGCCU